Molecule: ribosomal RNA, 493 nt
Filed under: uncultured bacterium
Lineage: Bacteria
Description: partial 16S ribosomal RNA
Rfam family: Bacterial small subunit ribosomal RNA
Source: RNAcentral
ACGAACGCUGGCGGCGUGCUUAACACAUGCAAGUCGAACGGUGAAGCGCCUUCCUUUUUGGUGGGUGUGGAUGAGUGGCGAACGGGUGAGUAACACGUGAGUAACCUGCCCCCUUCUUCUGGAUAACCGCAUGAAAGUGUGGCUAAUACGGGAUAUUCUGGGUCUGUCGCAUGAUGGGUCUGGGAAAGAUAUUGUUUCGGUGGGGGAUGGGCUCGCGGCCUAUCAGCUUGUUGGUGGGGUGAUGGCCUACCAAGGCGGUGACGGGUAGCCGGCCUGAGAGGGUGGACGGUCACACUGGGACUGAGACACGACCCAGACUCCUACGGGAGGCAGCAGUGGGGAAUAUUGCACAAUGGGCGCAAGCCUGAUGCAGCGACGCCGCGUGAGGGAUGGAGGCCUUCGGGUUGUGAACCUCUUUCGCCAGUGAAGCAGGCCUGCCUCGUUUGUGGGUGGGUUGACGGUAGCUGGAUAAGAAGCGCCGGCUAACUACGUG